Nicotiana attenuata is the source of this 533-nucleotide long non-coding RNA. RefSeq lists it as uncharacterized. The record is from RefSeq and is a predicted model, not a curated record. Lineage: Eukaryota; Viridiplantae; Streptophyta; Magnoliopsida; Solanales; Solanaceae. The transcript has 3 exons.
CAGUAAAAAAAGAGAUAGAGGGAAAUAUUAAUCUAAAAUUGUAGAUAUAAAAACUAAGUAUGGCGGAAAAAUUACAGUUACAAUUCCAGAUGAUAUUGAUAGAGCAAUAGGUCCUGGGGCUACAGAUAUUGAUAAUAAUUGUGGUUUGAUCAUGAGGAGCACUAUCUCCUUCCGUGAUGAGAAUUGGCAAAAGAUUCUUACAAAACAUGGAAAAGCAAUGCGGUUGAAGGUCAAGGAUAAAUUUGAAGUUCUUGGCGGCGUGCGAGAGCAUGCGUUUCAAGCAUUUGUUAUCGACACUAUGCGACGGCUCUUCAAAGCUUGGAAAGCUCGACUGAGCAUUCACUAUUCUUGCCAUGUUGCUAAAGGAAACAUAGUCUCGUCGACCUGAAGAUGUUAAGCUAGAGGACUGGAAAUACUUAGUAGAGUAUUUUGGAAGUCCUGAAUUUAAGGUUGUAAGCGAGAGAAAUAGAAAGAAUAGGGAAAAACAGAUAACUAAGCAUGCUUGUGGUACAAGGUCUUUUGCAAAAGUAGAG